UUUGUGUGUGUUAAUGAGUGACUGUCUUCAGGGAAAUGAUGUGGAGUGUGUUUGCAUAUUGAUCAGAUCUUCAGUGUGUGAGAGUGUUUAUAGUGCUGUGAGUUUAACACUUCAUCACUGACACACACAACAAUCUUCAUCAACAUGACCCUCAUCAUCAUCUUCAUCUGGACUCUCACAGCGUUUGCUCAAGAGUGUAGAGGACAGAUCACCGUCACUCAGAGUCCCUCAAUAACAGCAGAACAACCAGGAGGAACUGUGAAUAUCAAAUGUAAAACCAGUACAGAUGUGAGGAGAUGGAAUGAUGGGGAUGAAGGUUUAUUCUGGUACUUACAGAAACCUGGAGAAGCUCCUAAACUCCUGAUUUAUUAUGUAAAAAACCUCCAGUCAGGAACUCCAUCUAGAUUCAGUGGCAGUGGAUCUAACAGUGAUUUCACUCUGACCAUCAGUGGAGUCCAGACUGAAGAUGCUGGACAUUAUUACUGUAUGAGUUUCCAUUGCAGAACAGAUUAUUAUAAUUUUUGUGAGGAUGAUGAAACAUUCACACAGUGA
This is a non-coding RNA of Rhinichthys klamathensis goyatoka, 552 nucleotides long. NCBI's taxonomy places the organism in Eukaryota, Metazoa, Chordata, Actinopteri, Cypriniformes, Leuciscidae. The record is from the annotation of a RefSeq genome assembly.